Long non-coding RNA from Leptinotarsa decemlineata (Colorado potato beetle), 276 nucleotides. Lineage: Eukaryota; Metazoa; Arthropoda; Insecta; Coleoptera; Chrysomelidae. The record is from RefSeq and is a predicted model, not a curated record.
UAGUGUGUUUUUCUACAGUUUUCGAAGAUGCGUACUGAACCCUCACCUGAGGAUUCAUCCAUGUGAGACAACUAGUGCUUAUAAUAACUUCGAAGAGUACAGGAGUCAGGAUCGAAGAGCUUGAGGUGAGCUUCCGCACUUGCUAAUUGAUGGUAUAGAAAACGGCUCACGUAGCUGAAUGAAAAACAGCAAAACUACACCGUUUUGGAAUCUUCAACACGUUUAACAUUAUUUUGUUAAUUGAAUAACACGAUAUUCAGGAUCUGUAAAAGUCUU